CAGUAGCCGCGGGAAAACGUAGGGCGCAAGCGUUGUCCGGAAUUAUUGGGCGUAAAGAGCUCGUAGGCGGUCUGUCGCGUCUGGUGUGAAAUCCCGAGGCUCAACCUCGGGCUUGCAUCGGGUACGGGCAGACUAGAGUGCGGUAGGGGAGACUGGAAUUCCUGGUGUAGCGGUGGAAUGCGCAGAUAUCAGGAGGAACACCGAUGGCGAAGGCAGGUCUCUGGGCCGCAACUGACGCUGAGGAGCGAAAGCAUGGGGAGCGAACAGGAUUAGAUACCCCCGUAGUCCCUGUCUCUUAUAC
Molecule: ribosomal RNA, 301 nt
Filed under: uncultured bacterium
Lineage: Bacteria
Description: partial 16S ribosomal RNA
Rfam family: Bacterial small subunit ribosomal RNA
Source: RNAcentral